GAUGAACGCUGGCGGCGUGCCUAAUACAUGCAAGUCGAGCGAACAGAUGAGGAGCUUGCUCCUCUGACGUUAGCGGCGGACGGGUGAGUAACACGUGGAUAACCUACCUAUAAGACUGGGAUAACUUCGGGAAACCGGAGCUAAUACCGGAUAAUAUAUUGAACCGCAUGGUUCAAUAGUGAAAGACGGUUUUGCUGUCACUUAUAGAUGGAUCCGCGUCGCAUUAGCUAGUUGGUAAGGUAACGGCUUACCAAGGCAACGAUGCGUAGCCGACCUGAGAGGAUGAUCGGCCACACUGGAACUGAGACACGGUCCAGACUCCUACGGGAGGCAGCAGUAGGGAAUCUUCCGCAAUGGGCGAAAGCCUGACGGAGCAACGCCGCGUGAGUGAUGAAGGUCUUCGGAUCGUAAAACUCUGUUAUUAGGGAAGAACAAAUGUGUAAGUAACUAUGCACGUCUUGACGGUACCUAAUCAGAAAGCCACGGCUAACUACGUG
RNAcentral lists this ribosomal RNA (497 nucleotides) under uncultured bacterium. RNAcentral's name for it is "partial 16S ribosomal RNA". It matches the Rfam family "Bacterial small subunit ribosomal RNA", at positions 28 to 507 of the family's 1533-position model. The record is from RNAcentral.